Molecule: ribosomal RNA, 331 nt
Filed under: uncultured bacterium
Lineage: Bacteria
Description: bacterial SSU rRNA
Rfam family: Bacterial small subunit ribosomal RNA
Source: RNAcentral
CGCGUAGGUGGUAGUGCAAGUCUGGGGUGGAAUCCUAUGGCUUAACCAUAGAAUUGCCUUGGAAACUGUAUUACUUGAGUCAGUGAGGGGAGGGUAGAAUUCCUGGUGUAGCGGUGAAAUGCGUAGAUAUCAGGAGGAAGGCCUGUGGCGAAGGCGGCCCUCUGGCGCUGAACUGACACUGAGGCGCGAAAGCGUGGGGUAGCAAACAGGAUUAGAUACCCUGGUAGUCCACGCCCUAAACGGUGGGUACUAGGUGUAGGGCUCGUAAGGGUUCUGUGCCGAAGCGAAAGCAUUAAGUACCCCGCCUGGGGAGUACGGCCGCAAGGUUGAA